Molecule: ribosomal RNA, 632 nt
Filed under: uncultured bacterium
Lineage: Bacteria
Description: bacterial SSU rRNA
Rfam family: Bacterial small subunit ribosomal RNA (bases 1-541)
Source: RNAcentral
CCUACGGGAGGCAGCAGUGAGGAAUUUUGGACAAUGGGCGAAAGCCUGAUCCAGUCAUUCCGCGUGCAGGACGAAGGCCUUCGGGUUGUAAACUGCUUUUGUACGGAACGAAAAGCCUUGGCUAAUAACCAAGGUCCAUGACGGUACCGUAAGAAUAAGCACCGGCUAACUACGUGCCAGCAGCCGCGGUAAUACGUAGGGUGCGAGCGUUAAUCGGAAUUACUGGGCGUAAAGCGUGCGCAGGCGGUUAUAUAAGACAGAUGUGAAAUCCCCGGGCUCAACCUGGGAACUGCAUUUGUGACUGUAUAGCUGGAGUGCGGCAGAGGGGGAUGGAAUUCCGCGUGUAGCAGUGAAAUGCGUAGAUAUGCGGAGGAACACCGAUGGCGAAGGCAAUCCCCUGGGCCUGCACUGACGCUCAUGCACGAAAGCGUGGGGAGCAAACAGGAUUAGAUACCCUGGUAGUCCACGCCCUAAACGAUGUCAACUGGUUGUUGGGUCUUCACUGACUCAGUAACGAAGCUAACGCGUGAAGUUGACCGCCUGGGGNGGUACGGCCGCGAGUAGAACGUACGAAAGGAAAGUUAGUACGGCGUGAGACGUAGCCGACGGACGACGACGAGGGGAGGUUAGGG